CUUCUCCUCCCUUCCUCACUUCUUCCUCUCCCCACCUCUCUUCCCUUUUCCCCUCAUCCACUCCUCACUUCUGCCUCUCCACUUCUACUCUUUUCUUCCUCCUCCUCCUCUCUUAGUGUAGUUACGUUUUUACCUCCAGAAGGUUUUAUGAGAUCAAAUUAUUUUAGAUGUUUGUAACCCGCCUGGUUAAAGGCCAAAUAAUAUUAAAUUUAUGUUGAAGCACUGUUUUAAUUCACAUUUUCAUAUGUAACUGGGUUUUACUUUGAAAAUCGUAAGUUUAUUUUGACGGGAAACAGGAAGUAGUAUGCAGAUAUGCAGAUAGCUCAACUUUGCUCACUGAUGCACAGAGCAUGGCCUUUUCUCUCACUUGUUGGGUGAAAAAAAUCUGUUUAGUGGGUGGGAGAACCGUCAAUGAAGUACUUUUAUUUUGCUGAAUCACCCCUGAGUUAUCUUCUUGGUCAGGUUUUUUGACUACAUGGAAAAGUGAUCCCAGUCUUGGCAUCCAAUGAGUUUGCUGAGAAGAUCCAUUGAUGGCGAGCCUCCAAGCCGAAUCGUGAGCCUCUACUACCCAUACAGCGGACCCUGUGGUGGAUGAGAGUACAGAGGUGCAGAGUGGGCAACAGGAGGAGGCGGACGCGCGGGGGGAGACUGUAACCGGUGCCCCGCUCCCGUCACAAAACACCGACAGCGCAGAUGAGGGGAGCGCAGAGGGGGACAGUGAGCAGUGUGAGGACGGAGAGGACAGGGAUGAGGAAGACAGGAGGCGGGGCCAGAAGAGCCCUCUCCUUACUCUAUUAAAGACCUCCUGGACGUCUCCCUCGGGAGGUGUUCUGGGCAUGUCCCAUUGGGAGGAGACCCCGGGGAAGACCCAGGACACGCUGGAGGGACUAUGUUUCUCGGCUGGCCUGGGAACGCCUUGGGGUUCCCCCAGAAGAGCUGGAAGAAGUGUGCAUGGAAAGGGAAGUCUGGGAGUCCCUGCUUAGACUGCUGCCUCCGCGACCCGGCCCCGGAUAAGCGGAAGAAAAUGGAAUGGAAUGAGUUUUUGGAUGUUACGUAUGGCAACAAAUCAGUUAAUGUGCAAGACUUCUUCCCCGAUGUUGAUGGCUUCAUUAAUUCAGUUAGGAAAUUAAAGAGGCAGGUGGGUGUCGAUCAGUUAAGCCAAAAGAAAAGGUACAGGUUGGCAAAGCUUGUAGGAAGGAUCAACAAGGGCAAAAAAGGAUCAGGGACCACUAAAUAGGAAUAAUGGGUGGUACACAUUGGUGUCUCUCUCUCUCAGCUUGUGUUCAUUUACUGUUCUCUUUGUUUUCUGUUUCCUUUUUCCUAUGGAGAGCCUCAGAAUAGGAACUUUGAACAUUAAUGGAGGCAGGAAUCAAGAGAAGCAAGCAGCAGUGGCAAAGAUGGGCAAACUUAAACACAUUGAUGUGUUACUCUUACAGGAGACACAUAGCACAGGGGACAAUGAGACAGACUGGAGCAGGGUUUGGUCAGGGCCCAUGUUCAUGAGCCAUGGGUCUAAUGUAAGUGCAGGAGUAGCAGUGCUCUUAUCUGAACGGCUGAGGCUGAGUAAUGCCCCUCACCUAGAAGUGGAGGGGGGCAGGCUGCAGGUGGUACAGGGGACAAAGGGGGGCACACUUUGUGUUCAUAAACAUCUAUGCACACAACUCACCUGUAAGCCGGACACAGCUAGUGCACACUCUGAACAGGCAGCUCAAAGGUUUUAACAGUGAGUCUGUGAUAUUAGUGGGCGGGGACUGGAAUUGUACAACACACCCUCAUGAUAGGAACACGGCAGAGCCCCAUCCAAGCUCUGCCGCUCUGCUGGCCAGUGUGCUGAGGGAGAAUGACCUCAUGAACACAUGGAGACAUGCCCCUACUGGCGAUUUAAUGUAAGGUUACUGCAGGAUAGUGGCUUCAUCCAGGCUUUCAGGGAGCUCUGGGAGCAGUGGAGGCAUAGGAAGACAGACUUUUGAAAACAUACUAAAGUGGUGGGAGGUGGGGAAGACUCAAAUAAAACUUUUUGUCCAUCAGUAUACACAACACUCAGAGAGGGAAGGGCUGGAGCAUUUGGAGAGGGAAGUGUCUCUCCUGGAGCAGGGGCUGAUCAGGGGCGCAGAGAGAGAGAGAAAAGGGGGCACUAGUUAAGGCUAAAGUUGUUGCACUGCGUGAUAUUGAUGCCCCUACAUGCCACUUUUUUAAUUUAGAAAAGAAAGGCAGAGCAGGGAGCAAUCUUAUGCACCUUAAAUCGGCUAAUGGGGAGGUCACCUCUGACCCAUCACUAAUGGAGCAGGAGGCCAUAACCUUCUACUCCGAAUUGUUUGCGGCUGGUCAGUGUGACGGGGAGAGCCAGGGGCAGAUGGUGGACGGGUUGCCUGAGCUGGAGGAGGCUGAGGCAGCAGCUCUGGCCUCGCCAGUCACUCAAGAGGAGGUGACCUCUGCAGUGCAGCAGCUCAGUUGUGGCCGAGCCCCGGGGAUUGAUGGGCUGCAUCCAGAGUUUUAUAAGAGUUUCUGGUCUGUGCUGGGGGAGGAUGUGCACAGUGUUUUUACAUCAGCUCUGGAUCUGGGUCAGCUCCCACGCAGUUGUACCAGAGCGGUCCUGGCCCUAUUGCCCAAGAAAGGUGACCUGACAUUACUAAAGAACUGGAGGCCAGUCUCUCUGCUCUACACAGACACCCGGGUCCCGGCGACGACUGUCCUGGGUCUCGGCGACGACUGUCCCGGCCCCAGCAGCGGUAGUGACAGCCCCGUGUCCCGGCGGCGGGUCUGUCAGUGUGUCCGCUCUUUGGUUCUCUUCUCGCCAUUUCCUGUGUGGAGCUUUAGGCUGAAGUAGCAGCUGCCGCUAAUCGUGAAGCUGCUACGAGUUGACGCAGCAGGUUGACGUGAGUGACAGGACAGUUGUCCAAUCAGACUACACUAAAACUGAGACUGUGAUGUCAUUGGUCUGGGCGCUAAAGUUUGUGCCCACAGCCCGAAGUGAAAUGCAUAAAUCGGGGCCACUGACACCGUCUGUACGGAGUUUAGGGAGACGGGCCAGUCCUAGAUCGCGAUGGGCCCUCAAAGUUCCGUGGGCCCCAGUGCAUCGCACCGCCUGCAUCGCCAAAUGCUACACGUCUGGACAAAAUAAUACAUUCAAAUUAGGGAGUCUAGUCCUAUAGCUCUGAAUGACAGCACAUGUUUUCCACCUGCUGUUUGGGAUUUAAACAAAGGAAUACAUGACAAAUAUACUGGACAAAAUGUGUCCAAAACCAGGCAGACGUGAUCCUGCAGAAAGAGAGGAGGAAGGGAAAAAUGUCAGAGUGACAAAAACAAUAUACAGUACAG
This is a long non-coding RNA of Boleophthalmus pectinirostris (great blue-spotted mudskipper), 3318 nucleotides long. RefSeq lists it as uncharacterized. Lineage: Eukaryota; Metazoa; Chordata; Actinopteri; Gobiiformes; Gobiidae. The transcript has 4 exons. The record is from RefSeq and is a predicted model, not a curated record.